RNAcentral lists this ribosomal RNA (253 nucleotides) under uncultured archaeon. RNAcentral's name for it is "partial 16S ribosomal RNA". It matches the Rfam family "Archaeal small subunit ribosomal RNA", at positions 474 to 727 of the family's 1478-position model. The record is from RNAcentral.
UACCAGCUCCGCGAGUGGUCGGGACGUUUAUUGGGUCUAAAGCGUCCGUAGCCGGCUUACUAAGUCUCCGGCUAAAGCCGACGGCUCAACCGUCGGAGUGCCGAAGAUACUGGUAGGCUUGGGGGCGGAAGAGGCCGAGGGUACUUCCGGGGUAGGGGCGAAAUCCUAUAAUCCCGGAAGGACCACCAGUGGCGAAGGCGCUCGGCUAGUACGCGCCCGACGGUGAGGGACGAAAGCUGGGGGAGCGAACCGG